AGAGAGAGAGAGAGAGAGAGAGAGAGAGCGGAGCGGAGCGGAGAACUGCGCGGAGGGACGAGUGAGAAGCGCCGUGCAGACGAAGACAGCAGAGAGAGAGAGAGAGAGAGAGAGAGAGAGAGAGAGAGAGUGAGGAGGGAGAGGGGGAAAGAGAAAGAGAGAGAGAGUGAGAGAGAGAGCGAGGGGAGAGAAGAGAGGGAAGCAUAUCACAGUCAGGCAUCAGACGACACCCAGGGCUUUGAGCGCGGCGGGAAGCAGCCCAUGGAAGCAGCAGCAGAGGGAGCUCAUUACUCCGGGAUAACACCUGCCGGGAUUGGGAGCGCCGCGCCAGGGAAGGGAAUCCCAUUACGGAUGGAAGCUGCUUGCCGGAGCCUCGGCGCUGGAUGUAGCAGGCCCUCACAGUCACCGUGGCUCAGAAAAGCCAUUGAUGGGGCCUUGCCUUGCAACACUGUAAAGCAUCUUCAAUCAAUUGAUUUGAAAAGCCCCCCCUCGCUAUUGCCAGGCGGUUGAGGAACGAUUGUUGGUUACGGUCGCGUACACGUUUGCUUCUCCCCUUCCCCGCGACACAAAACCCCCCAUAAAAAAAACGAAAACAACGAAAACAAAAAAAAAAUGGCAAAACAUAAAAACACGAAAAAAAAAGCG
Sardina pilchardus (European sardine) is the source of this 645-nucleotide long non-coding RNA. RefSeq lists it as uncharacterized. NCBI's taxonomy places the organism in Eukaryota, Metazoa, Chordata, Actinopteri, Clupeiformes, Clupeidae. The record is from RefSeq and is a predicted model, not a curated record. The transcript is spliced from 3 exons.